This 213-nucleotide ribosomal RNA is filed under the name uncultured soil bacterium. RNAcentral describes it as "partial 16S ribosomal RNA". It matches the Rfam family "Bacterial small subunit ribosomal RNA", at positions 26 to 240 of the family's 1533-position model. The record is from RNAcentral.
AGAUUGAACGCUGGCGGCAUGCCUUACACAUGCAAGUCGAACGGCAGCACGGGAGCAAUCCUGGUGGCGAGUGGCGAACGGGUGAGUAAUAUAUCGGAACGUGCCCAGUCGUGGGGGAUAACGUAGAGAAAUUUACGCUAAUACCGCAUACGAUCCAAAGGAUGAAAGCGGGGGACCGUAAGGCCUCGCGCGACUGGAGCGGCUGAUAUCAGA